This 87-nucleotide small nucleolar RNA is filed under the name Salvator merianae (Argentine black and white tegu). RNAcentral's name for it is "Small nucleolar RNA SNORD11B (ENSSMRG00000020788.1)". It matches the Rfam family "Small nucleolar RNA SNORD11B". Lineage: Eukaryota; Metazoa; Chordata; Lepidosauria; Squamata; Teiidae. The record is from Rfam by way of RNAcentral.
GGAUGGCAAUGAUGAUUCUUGUGAAGAUGCGUUCCUGAUGUAUAAAUCAUGAGGGUUGCACAGUCACUACCUCUUCUGAUGCCAUCU